AUGGCACAGUGACCAAACAGAUGAAUGACGG
RNAcentral lists this non-coding RNA (31 nucleotides) under Mus musculus (house mouse). Lineage: Eukaryota; Metazoa; Chordata; Mammalia; Rodentia; Muridae. The record is from RNAcentral.